This 253-nucleotide ribosomal RNA is filed under the name uncultured bacterium. Its description in RNAcentral is "partial 16S ribosomal RNA". It matches the Rfam family "Bacterial small subunit ribosomal RNA", at positions 524 to 776 of the family's 1533-position model. The record is from RNAcentral.
UACGAAGGUCCCGAGCGUUAUCCGGAUUUAUUGGGUUUAAAGGGUGCGUAGGCGGGAUCAUAAGUCAGUGGUGAAAACCUGCAGCUUAACUGUAGAACUGCCAUUGACACUGUGAUUCUUGAGUAUAGUUGAGGUGGGCGGAAUGUGUAGUGUAGCGGUGAAAUGCUUAGAUAUUACACAGAACACCGAUUGCGUAGGCAGCUCACUAAACUAAAACUGACGCUGAGGCACGAAAGCGUGGGGAGCAAACAGG